AAUCAACGCUGGCGGCGUGCCUCAGACAUGCAAGUCGAACGAUUAAACUUCCCUUCGGGGAAGAUAUAAAGUGGCGCACGGGUGAGUAACACGUAGGUAAUCUACCUUUGAGUGGGGAAUAACGUUCGGAAACGGACGCUAAUACCGCAUAAUGCAGCGGCAUCUAUGAUGACAGUUGUUAAAGGAGCAAUCCGCUUAAAGAGGAGCCUGCGGCAGAUUAGCUAGUUGGUAAGGUAACGGCUUACCAAGGCGACGAUCUGUAUCCGACCUGAGAGGG
RNAcentral lists this ribosomal RNA (277 nucleotides) under uncultured bacterium. RNAcentral's name for it is "partial 16S ribosomal RNA". It matches the Rfam family "Bacterial small subunit ribosomal RNA", at positions 32 to 300 of the family's 1533-position model. The record is from RNAcentral.